CUGGAGGUAUCAGAAGUGCGAAUGCUGACAUAAGUAACGAUAAAGCGGGUGAAAAGCCCGCUCGCCGGAAGACCAAGGGUUCCUGUCCAACGUUAAUCGGGGCAGGGUGAGUCGACCCCUAAGGCGAGGCCGAAAGGCGUAGUCGAUGGGAAACAGGUUAAUAUUCCUGUACUUGGUGUUACUGCGAAGGGGGGACGGAGAAGGCUAUGUUGGCCGGGCGACGGUUGUCCCGGUUUAAGCGUGUAGGCUGGUUUUCCAGGCAAAUCCGGAAAAUCAAGGCUGAGGCGUGAUGACGAGGCACUACGGUGCUGAAGCAACAAAUGCCCUGCUUCCAGGAAAAGCCUCUAAGCAUCAGGUAACAUCAAAUCGUACCCCAAACCGACACAGGUGGUCAGGUAGAGAAUACCAAGGCGCUUGAGAGAACUCGGGUGAAGGAACUAGGCAAAAUGGUGCCGUAACUUCGGGAGAAGGCACGCUGAUAUGUAGGUGAAGUCCCUCGCGGAUGGAGCUGAAAUCAGUCGAAGAUACCAGCUGGCUGCAACUGUUUAUUAAAAACACAGCACUGUGCAAACACGAAAGUGGACGUAUACGGUGUGACGCCUGCCCGGUGCCGGAAGGUUAAUUGAUGGGGUUAGCCGCAAGGCGAAGCUCUUGAUCGAAGC
RNAcentral lists this ribosomal RNA (662 nucleotides) under Escherichia coli. RNAcentral describes it as "partial 23S ribosomal RNA". It matches the Rfam family "Bacterial large subunit ribosomal RNA", at positions 1273 to 1918 of the family's 2925-position model. Lineage: Bacteria; Pseudomonadati; Pseudomonadota; Gammaproteobacteria; Enterobacterales; Enterobacteriaceae. The record is from RNAcentral.